CAUCCACGGAAGUUUUCAGAGAUGAGAAUGUGCCUUCGGGAACCGUGAGACAGGUGCUGCAUGGCUGUCGUCAGCUCGUGUUGUGAAAUGUUGGGUUAAGUCCCGCAACGAGCGCAACCCUUAUCCUUUGUUGCCAGCGGUCCGGCCGGGAACUCAAAGGAGACUGCCAGUGAUAAACUGGAGGAAGGUGGGGAUGACGUCAAGUCAUCAUGGCCCUUACGACCAGGGCUACACACGUGCUACAAUGGCGCAUACAAAGAGAAGCGACCUCGCGAGAGCAAGCGGACCUCAUAAAGUGCGUCGUAGUCCGGAUUGGAGUCUGCAACUCGACUCCAUGAAGUCGGAAUCGCUAGUAAUCGUGGAUCAGAAUGCCACGGUGAAUACGUUCCCGGGCCUUGUACACACCGCCCGUCACACCAUGGGAGUGGGUUGCAAAAGAAGUAGGUAGCUUAACCUUCGGGAGGGCGCUUACCACUUUGUGAUUCAUGACUGGGGUGAAGUCGUAACAAGGUAACCGUAGGGGAACCUGCGGUUGGAUCAC
This 541-nucleotide ribosomal RNA is filed under the name Escherichia coli. RNAcentral describes it as "bacterial SSU rRNA". It matches the Rfam family "Bacterial small subunit ribosomal RNA", at positions 985 to 1526 of the family's 1533-position model. Lineage: Bacteria; Pseudomonadati; Pseudomonadota; Gammaproteobacteria; Enterobacterales; Enterobacteriaceae. The record is from RNAcentral. RNAcentral also lists the same sequence under 1 other name.